UUUUCAGUGUCGCAGCGAAAGCGAUAAACACACCGCCUGGGGAGUACGACCGCAAGGUUAAAACUCAAAUGAAUUGACGGGGACCCGCACAAGUAGUGGAACAUGUGGUUUAAUUCGAAGAUACGCGCAGAACCUUACCAACACUUGACAUGUUCGUCGCGACUUUAAGAGAUUAAAGUUUUCGGUUCGGCCGGACGAAACACAGGUGCUGCAUGGCUGUCGUCAGCUCGUGUCGUGAGAUGUUGGGUUAAGUCCCGCAACGAGCGCAACCCUCACUUUUAGUUGCCAUCAUUUAGUUGGGCACUCUGAAAGAACUGCCAGUGAUAAGCUGGAGGAAGGUGGGGAUGACGUCAAGUCCUCAUGGCCCUUACGUGUUGGGCUACACACGUGCUACAAUGGUAUCUACAACAGGAAGCAAAACGGCAACGUUAAGCAAAUCCCUAAAAGAUACCUCAGUUCGGAUUGCACUCUGCAACUCGAGUGCAUGAAGCUGGAAUUACUAGUAAUCGUGGAUCAGCGUGCCACGGUGAAUGCGUUCCCGGGUCUUGUACACACCGCCCGUCACACCAUGGGAGUUGGUUCUACCUUAAGGCAAGGUUUUAAACCCUUGACCACGGUAUAGUCAGCGACUGGGGUGAAGUCGUAACAAGGUAGCCGUAGGGGAACCUGCGGCUGGAUUACCUCCUU
RNAcentral lists this ribosomal RNA (687 nucleotides) under uncultured marine alpha proteobacterium. RNAcentral describes it as "bacterial SSU rRNA". It matches the Rfam family "Bacterial small subunit ribosomal RNA", at positions 837 to 1532 of the family's 1533-position model. Lineage: Bacteria; Pseudomonadati; Pseudomonadota; Alphaproteobacteria. The record is from RNAcentral.